GAGUUUGAUCCUGGCUCAGAAUGAACGCUGGCGGCGUGCUUUACACAUGCAAGUCGAGCGAGGCGUAUGGGCUUGCCCAUACAGUCGAGCGGCGAACGGGUGAGUAACGCGUGGAUAUCUACCCUGAGGUGGGGGAUAACCCGAGGAAACUCGGGCUAAUACCGCAUGAUACCGCGAGGUCAAAGAGGGCUUCGGCUCUCGCCAUGGGAUGAGUCUGCGUCCGAUUAGCUAGUUGGUGAGGUAAUGGCUCACAAAGGCGACGAUCGGUAGCCGGCCUGAGAGGGUGAUCGGCCACACUGGAACUGAGACACGGUCCAGACUCCUACGGGAGGCAGCAGUGGGGAAUUUUGCACAAUGGGCGCAAGCCUGAUGCAGCAAUGCCGCGUGUGUGAAGAAGGCCUGCGGGUUGUAAAGCACUUUUAUUAGGAAAGAAAAACCCGGAGUUAAUACCUCCGGCAUUGACGGUACCUAAAGAAUAAGCACCGGCUAACUCUGUGCCAGCCCACGGUAUCAA
Molecule: ribosomal RNA, 514 nt
Filed under: uncultured bacterium
Lineage: Bacteria
Description: bacterial SSU rRNA
Rfam family: Bacterial small subunit ribosomal RNA
Source: RNAcentral